CCGGGAUUUGCAGGCUCCCGGGGGUGGCGCCCGCCACCGAGACGGUGUCCGUCCAAGGCCUGC
Molecule: non-coding RNA, 63 nt
Filed under: unclassified sequences
Description: chromate-resist RNA
Rfam family: chrB-b RNA
Source: RNAcentral